AGUGAACGCUGGCGGUAGGCCUAACACAUGCAAGUCGAACGGCAACACAGGAGAGCUUGCUCUCUGGGUGGCGAGUGGCGGACGGGUGAGGAAUACAUCGGAAUCUACUCUGUCGUGGGGGAUAACGUAGGGAAACUUACGCUAAUACCGCAUACGACCUACGGUUGAAAGCAGGGGACAUUCGGGCCUUGCGCGAUUGAAUGAGCCGAUGUCGGAUAAGCUAGUUGGCGGGGUAAAGGCCCACCAAGGCGACGAUCCGUAGCUGGUCUGAGAGGAUGAUCAGCCACACUGGAACUGGGACACGGUCCAGACUCCUACGGGAGGCAGCAGUGGGGAAUAUUGGACAAUGGGCGCAAGCCUGAUCCAGCCAUACCGCGUGGGUGAAGAAGGCCUUCGGGUUGUAAAGCCCUUUUGUUGGGAAAGAAAUCCAGCUGGCUAAUACCCGGUUGGGAUGACGGUACCCAAAGAAUAAGCACCGGCUAACUUCGUGCCAGCCGCCGCAGUAA
This 506-nucleotide ribosomal RNA is filed under the name uncultured bacterium. RNAcentral describes it as "partial 16S ribosomal RNA". It matches the Rfam family "Bacterial small subunit ribosomal RNA", at positions 29 to 523 of the family's 1533-position model. The record is from RNAcentral.